GGGAUUGUGGCUCAGUAAUAGAGCACUUGCCUAGCAUGUAUGAGGCACUGGGUUCAAUUCUCAGCACCA
Molecule: transfer RNA, 69 nt
Filed under: Marmota marmota marmota (Alpine marmot)
Lineage: Eukaryota; Metazoa; Chordata; Mammalia; Rodentia; Sciuridae
Also listed under: 2 other names
Rfam family: tRNA
About the family: Transfer RNA (tRNA) molecules are approximately 80 nucleotides in length. Their secondary structure includes four short double-helical elements and three loops (D, anti-codon, and T loops).
Source: Rfam by way of RNAcentral